RNAcentral lists this long non-coding RNA (1730 nucleotides) under Piliocolobus tephrosceles (Ugandan red Colobus). Its description in RNAcentral is "lncRNA (ENSPTEG00000016443.1)". Lineage: Eukaryota; Metazoa; Chordata; Mammalia; Primates; Cercopithecidae. The record is from RNAcentral.
AUGUGCUGGGCUCAGAGCAGUCACACCCGUCCGUGGGACACACCAGCCUGGAGUCAGCACAGAGCCCUGAGUCCUGUCUCCCCGGCCGCCGCAGGAACAUGCUGGUGUGGAAACCGUGAGGCAAACGUAUUUGCUGACCGGAGCGCUGCAGGUGCUGCCUCGGGCAGGAAGCCUCGCUGUGGCCGCCGGGGCCGUGAUGCCGUGACCCACAGAGAUGGUCGUGGUAAGUCCACACCUCCAGCAUUGGGCCCGGGGUGGAUGCUGAGCUCCAGGGAACCCAGAGCUUCUCUCCCAGCACCUGCCACCCAGGCAGGACUUCCCUCAAUGGCCUGCGGCAGCAGCACCCUCUGGGCAAGCAUAUCCGCUGGAAUGGAACCGCUGCAGCAGGUUCUGCAAAAGGCGAAAGCAGUUGCGCUGUACUAUUCGGGGUCCCUGUGGGCACUGAAGCAAUUUGUCACCACAGGCAGGACAGAUGCGGAGACCGAGUAUAGCCAGGAGGCUCCAGGUGGAGCCCCCUUUGCGGGUCUCAUCAAUCAAGGCCUCACCUGCUACCUCAACGCCCUCCUGCAGUGUCUCUUUCUGACGCCUGAAUUCCGAGACAGGAUCCAGGAGAAGCCUUGGGCCUCCCAGCCCGAGCAGGCUCUUGGCCAGAUCUUCAGGGGGCUGCAGAGGCGGUGUGGACCUGUGCCAACGAAUGCCCUCACCACCUGCCUGGGUCUGCACGGUGAGUGGACAUUGGGAGGCUCAGGGACAGGGCACCAGGCAGAGGUGGAGCCCAGACCCUGAGAUCCCACGAAGGGCUGCGUGUCCCCCUGAGGGGUCUGCACCACCCCUGACCCGGUGCCACCGGGGAGCAGCAUUCAGCGAAAGUUGGGAGAAGGCGGUUGCAAGAUGGCCAGAGGCCUGCGUGGGGUGGGUUCCAGGGAAGAGUCAGGAGCAGAGAGGCUGACCCAUGGCUGGGGCGGACCUCUUUCCUGGACACCUCGGCAUACAGUCUGUGACUCACCUGCCCAAGAAGCAUCCUGGGGCUUCGCACCGUUGGGAGGGGAGGAAGCGGGACCUUGGGGAGUCACCAAUGUAACCCAGGCGUGUGCUGGCCCGAGGAAGACACUGCUGGGAGUGUCUAGACAAUAGGAGCCCUCUCAGCCACCCGGGGCUGGGACACUGCGGUCCAUGAGCUGAUGGUGGCAGCAAUCGCCAAGUGUGGGGGGUGUUGUCAGGAGACUGGGGGUAGGGCUAAGGGACACUCACUCCGUCAGCAGGAGGGACGUCCACCUUGUGCCAGGCUGGGUUUAGAGACUCUGCCAAGGAGAAAUGUCCACACUCUAGAGGGUGGGUCAGAGGGAAGGGCCAGUGGCCAGGCUACAGCCGGGCCCCACCCCAGGCCCCAGGGACAGCUGGGCAGUCAGCCUGUCAUUCCAGGGCUGACUCAGAGGCUGGGCCUGAGGGUGCUCCACUGCCCAGCCAGGCUGUCCCUGUUGCUCUCUGAGUGCCCAGUGCCGCUCCUGAAGUUGGCUCAGGGCCGAUUUGCUGAAGGAAUGAGUGAAUCAGUGAACGGACAAAGGAGUGAACAAAUGCUGGAGCUUGGCCUGGGGCCCCUGGUCAGGAGGGGAGGGCAGAGCAGGAGGAGAAGGUCAGAGCAGGAGGGGAGGUCAGAGCAGGAGGGGAGGGUCAGAGCAGGAGGGAGGGUCAGAGCAGGAGAAGGUCAGAGCAGGAGGGGAGGGUCAGAG